UACGGAGGGUGCAAGCGUUGUUCGGAAUUACUGGGCGUAAAGCGCGCGUAGGCGGUUUGUUAAGUCAGAUGUGAAAGCCCAUGGCUCAACCAUGGACGUGCAUUUGAAACUGGAAGUCUGGAGUUCAGGAGAGGUUAGCGGAAUACCGAGUGUAGAGGUGAAAUUCGUAGAUAUUCGGUGGAACACCAGUGGCGAAGGCGACCACCUGGCCAAAUACUGACGCUGAGGUGCGAAAGCGUGGGGAGCAAACAGG
RNAcentral lists this ribosomal RNA (253 nucleotides) under uncultured Alphaproteobacteria bacterium. Its description in RNAcentral is "partial 16S ribosomal RNA". It matches the Rfam family "Bacterial small subunit ribosomal RNA", at positions 524 to 776 of the family's 1533-position model. Lineage: Bacteria; Pseudomonadati; Pseudomonadota; Alphaproteobacteria. The record is from RNAcentral.